This 492-nucleotide ribosomal RNA is filed under the name uncultured bacterium. RNAcentral describes it as "partial 16S ribosomal RNA". It matches the Rfam family "Bacterial small subunit ribosomal RNA", at positions 29 to 507 of the family's 1533-position model. The record is from RNAcentral.
AGUGAACGCUGGCGGUAGGCCUAACACAUGCAAGUCGAACGGCCGCACAGUAAGCGCUUGCUCUUACGGGUGGCGAGUGGCGGACGGGUGAGGAAUACAUCGCCAUCUACUUUUUCGUGGGGGAUAACGUAGGGACACUUACGCUAAUACCGCAUACGACCUACGGGUGAAAGCAGGGGAUCUUCGGACCUUGCGCGAUUGAAUGAGCCGAUGUCGGAUUAGCUAGUUGGCGGGGUAAAGGCUCACCAAGGCGACGAUCCGUAGCUGGUCUGAGAGGAUGAUCGGCCACACUGGAACUGAGACACGGUCCAGACUCCUACGGGAGGCAGCAGUAGGGAAUAUUGGACAAUGGGCGAAAGCCUGAUCCAGCCAUACCGCGUGGGUGAAGAAGGCCUUCGGAUUGUAAAGCCCUUUUGUUGGGAAAGAAAAGCAGCAUAAGAAUACCCCGCUGUUCUGACGGUACCCAAAGAAUAAGCACCGGCUAACUUCGUG